This 253-nucleotide ribosomal RNA is filed under the name uncultured bacterium. Its description in RNAcentral is "partial 16S ribosomal RNA". It matches the Rfam family "Bacterial small subunit ribosomal RNA", at positions 524 to 776 of the family's 1533-position model. The record is from RNAcentral.
UACGUAGGGUGCAAGCGUUAAUCGGAAUUACUGGGCGUAAAGCGUGCGUAGUCGGUUAUCUAAGUCGGAUGUGAAAUCCCCGGGCUCAACCUGGGAAUUGCAUUCGAAACUGAAUAGCUAGAGUUCGGCAGAGGGAAGUGGAAUUUCCGGUGUAGCGGUGAAAUGCGUAGAUAUCGGAAGGAACAUCAGUGGCGAAAGCGACUUCCUGGACCAGAACUGACGAUCAGGCACGAAAGCGUGGGGAGCAAACAGG